AUUGAACGCUGGCGGCAGGCCUAACACAUGCAAGUCGAACGGUAACAGGAAGAAGCUUGCUUCUUUGCUGACGAGUGGCGGACGGGUGAGUAAUGUCUGGGAAACUGCCUGAUGGAGGGGGAUAACUACUGGAAACGGUAGCUAAUACCGCAUAACGUCGCAAGACCAAAGAGGGGGACCUUCGGGCCUCUUGCCAUCGGAUGUGCCCAGAUGGGAUUAGCUAGUAGGUGGGGUAACGGCUCACCUAGGCGACGAUCCCUAGCUGGUCUGAGAGGAUGACCAGCCACACUGGAACUGAGACACGGUCCAGACUCCUACGGGAGGCAGCAGUGGGGAAUAUUGCACAAUGGGCGCAAGCCUGAUGCAGCCAUGCCGCGUGUAUGAAGAAGGCCUUCGGGUUGUAAAGUACUUUCAGCGGGGAGGAAGGGAGUAAAGUUAAUACCUUUGCUCAUUGACGUUAACCGCAGAAGAAGCACCGGCUAACUCCGUG
RNAcentral lists this ribosomal RNA (490 nucleotides) under uncultured bacterium. RNAcentral's name for it is "partial 16S ribosomal RNA". It matches the Rfam family "Bacterial small subunit ribosomal RNA", at positions 30 to 507 of the family's 1533-position model. The record is from RNAcentral.